This 74-nucleotide microRNA precursor is filed under the name Myotis brandtii (Brandt's bat). Its description in RNAcentral is "mir-9193 microRNA precursor family". It matches the Rfam family "mir-9193 microRNA precursor family". Lineage: Eukaryota; Metazoa; Chordata; Mammalia; Chiroptera; Vespertilionidae. The record is from Rfam by way of RNAcentral.
GGCGGGGGGCGGGGGUCCCUCAGCCCAGAUUGCGAAAGAGCACAGGCCAGGCCGAGGGACCCCACUGGUGCACA